CUACGGGUGGCAGCAGUGGGGAAUAUUGGACAAUGGGCGAAAGCCUGAUCCAGCCAUGCCGCGUGUGUGAAGAAGGCCUUCGGGUUGUAAAGCACUUUCAGUGGGGAAGAAAGCCUUGGGGCUAAUACCCUCGAGGAAGGACAUCACCCACAGAAGAAGCACCGGCUAACUCCGUGCCAGCAGCCGCGGUAAUACGGAGGGGGCGAGCGUUAAUCGGAAUUACUGGGCGUAAAGCGCGCGUAGGCGGUCUGAUAAGCCGGUUGUGAAAGCCCCGGGCUCAACCUGGGAACGGCAUCCGGAACUGUCAGGCUAGAGUGCAGGAGAGGAAGGUAGAAUUCCCGGUGUAGCGGUGAAAUGCGUAGAGAUCGGGAGGAAUACCAGUGGCGAAGGCGGCCUUCUGGACUGACACUGACGCUGAGGUGCGAAAGCGUGGGUAGCAAACAGGAUUAGAUACCCCAGUAGU
This 463-nucleotide ribosomal RNA is filed under the name Vreelandella stevensii. RNAcentral's name for it is "partial 16S ribosomal RNA". It matches the Rfam family "Bacterial small subunit ribosomal RNA", at positions 339 to 794 of the family's 1533-position model. Lineage: Bacteria; Pseudomonadati; Pseudomonadota; Gammaproteobacteria; Oceanospirillales; Halomonadaceae. The record is from RNAcentral.